This 890-nucleotide ribosomal RNA is filed under the name Polypedates leucomystax (Java whipping frog). Its description in RNAcentral is "partial 16S ribosomal RNA". It matches the Rfam family "Bacterial large subunit ribosomal RNA", at positions 1112 to 2606 of the family's 2925-position model. Lineage: Eukaryota; Metazoa; Chordata; Amphibia; Anura; Rhacophoridae. The record is from RNAcentral.
GCAGCCACCUUUUAAAACGCGUCAAAGCGUAACCUUAACCCCCAAAAUACCACUAAUUUUCAUGAACCCCUAAUUUAUAAUGAAUGACUCCAUAUUUAUAUGGAAGACACCAUGCUAGGAUUAGUAACAAGAAUUUAUAAUUCUCCAAAAUGCAAAUAUAAACCAACAUGGAUGGACCAUUGGUAGUUACCGAACCUAAAUUCAAUGCAAUAACACCCACAAGAAAACUCUGCAGUACUCACUCGUUAACCUAACACCAGCGCAUUACAGGAAAGAUUAAAAAAAAGAGAAGGAAUUCGGCAAAUGACGGCCCCGCCUGUUUACCAAAAACAUCGCCUCUUGACUUAUAAUGAGAGGUCUAGCCUGCCCAGUGAAUUUUAAACGGCCGCGGUAUCCUAACCGCGCGAAGGUAGCAUAAUCACUUGUUCUUUAAAUGGGGACUCGUAUCAACGGCAUCACGAGGGUUUUACUGUCUCCUCUUUUUGAUCAGUGAAAUUGAUCUUCCCGUGAAGAAGCGGGAAUAAAUUUAUAAGACGAGAAGACCCCAUGGAGCUUUAAACCAAAUAACAACUUAACCACUCACCCCAUAAUAAAUUUAAGCCCUGUUAUAAGGUUUUUGGUUGGGGUGACCGCGGAGUAAAGCAUAUCCUCCACGACGAAAAGAACAGAAUCUUUAUUUAAGAACCACACUUCUAGAAAUUAGUAUACUAACGUUUACUGACCCGACAAUCGAUCAACGGACCAAGUUACCCUGGGGAUAACAGCGCAAUCUACUUCAAGAGCUCAUAUCGACAAGUAGGCUUACGACCUCGAUGUUGGAUCAGGGUAUCCCGGUGGUGCAGCCGCUACCGAAGGUUCGUUUGUUCAACGAUUAAAACCCUACGUGAUCU